This 5764-nucleotide long non-coding RNA is filed under the name Homo sapiens (human). RNAcentral describes it as "HSALNT0054424". The record is from RNAcentral. Lineage: Eukaryota; Metazoa; Chordata; Mammalia; Primates; Hominidae.
UUCCUCUUCAUCAGCCUCACAUCCGCAGGCUGAGGGCCUUCGAAGGACUCCAUCAUUUCUCGAAUCUGCACAGGGUUUUACAUUAUUUACAGUUAAAGCUUUUGCCACACACUAUUCCCCAUGGAAUAGGAAUUACAUCAACUGUUUAAUUAGCCAAGUUUUUUUUUUUUUUAAGAUGGGAGUCUCUGUCUCUCACUCACUUGAUUGCCCAGGCUGGAGUGCAGUGGCAUGAUCUCAGCUCACUGCAACCACCACCUCCUGGGUUCAAGCAAUUCUCCUGCCUCAGCCUCCCGAGUAGCUGGGAUUAUAGGUGUGCACCACCAUGCGUGACUGAUUUUUUUUUUUUUUUGAGACGGAGUCUCGCUCUGUCACCCAGGCUGGAGUACAGUGACGUGAUCUCGGCUCACUUCAACCUCCACCUCCUGGAUUCAAGCGAUUCUUCUGCCUCAGCCUCCCAGGUAGCUGGGAUUACAGGCAUCCACCACCACAUCCAGCUAAUUUUUGUAUUUUUAGUAGAGACGGGGUUUCACUGUGUUGGACAGGCUAGUCUCGAACUCCUGGCCUCAAGUGAUAUGCCAGCCUCCCAUAUCAUUACAUGCAUGACCCACCAUGCCUGGCCUAAUUAGCCAAGUUUUUAUCUUCUAUCACCAAAAUGCAAUUUUCCUAAAAGGCACAAAAAAGAGAGAACAUUUCUCAUAGAAAUUAAUGCAUUAUAACAGCACUGAAGGCAUUCAUUAAAUGUUGCAUGGGAAUUUCCCUCAGGUGUAAUUAAUUUUUCCUUUUUUUUUUUUGAGACAGGGCCUAGCUCUGACACCCAGGCUGAAGUGCACUGGUGUGAUCUCAGCUCACUGCAACCUCUGCCUUCCUGGACUCAAGUGAUCCUCCCACCUCAGCCUCCUAAGUAGCUGGGACUACAAAUGCACACCACCACACCUGGUUAAUUUUUGUAUUUUUUGUAGAGACAGAGUUUUGCCACGUUGCCCAGGCUGGUCUGGAACUCCUGGGCUCAAGCGAUCCGGCCACCUUGGCCUCCCAAAGUGCUAGGAUUACAGGAGUGAGCCACAAUGCCUGGCCGCAAUUAAUUUCUGUUAUGAUACACAUCCUUGCUUGUGGUAUGAUGUCUCAAGCCUCCAUCCUUUAGUCUAAUCUCCCUGUCCUUUGUUCUGCAGGAUAGUACAGUGGCUCAAGCCUAUAAUCCUAGCGCUUUGGGAAGAUGAGGCAAGAUGAGCGCUUGAGCACAGGAGUGUGAGACCAGCCUGGGGAACACAGUAAGACCCCAUCUGUAUACAAAAAUUUUAAAAAUUAGGCCUCGCAUAGUGGCUCACGCCUGUAAUUCCAGCACUUUGGGGGGCCAAGGCAGGUGGAUCACGAGGUCAAGAGAUGGAGACCAUCCUGGCUAACACAGUGAAAUCCCGUCUCUACUAAAAAUACAAAAAAUCAGCCAGACGUGGUGGCACGUGCCUGUAGUCCUAGCUACUUGGGAGGCUGAGGCAAGAGAAUCGCUUGACCCCGGGAGGCGGAGGUUGCAGUGAGCCGAGAUCGCGCCACUGCACUCCAGCCUGGGCAAGAGUGAGACUCCGUCUCAAAAAAAAAUAAUAAAAUAAAAUAAAAAUUACCCAAGCAUGAUGGUAUACACCUGUAGUCCUAGUUACCUGGGAGGCUGAGGUGGGAGGACUGUUUAAGCCCAGGAGUUCGAGGUUACAAUGGGCUAUUGCACCACUGCACUCCAGCCUGGGUGACAAAGUGCAACCCUAUCUUUAAAAAAAUAAAAAAAUAAAAAUAAGGACUCAGAUGAGAUUUAAAAGAGGCAGUGGAUGCGUCACUGUGCCCUGAAGUACGCCUAAUCAAGAAUAGCCUUCCUGCUCUUUGAGGCCUACUCUCAAAAUAAGGAAAAAAAUCAACAGCCAAAAAAUGAAGAGCCUGAUGAUAAACUUUUUUUUAAAUUUUUUUGAGAUGGAGUCUCACUCUGUUGCCCAGGCUGGAGAGCAAUGGCAUGAUCUCGGCUCACUGCAACCUCCGCCUCCUGGGUUCAAGCAAUUCUGCCUCAGCCUCAAGAGUAGCUGGGACUACAGGCGCAUGUCGCCACACCCAGCUAAUAUUUUAUAUUUUAGUAGAGAGGGGUUUCACCAUGUUGCCCAGGCUGGUCUCCAUCUCUUGGGCUCAGGUAAUCCACCCACCUUGGCCUCCCAAAGUGCUGGGAUUACAGGCGUGAGCCACCGCACCAGGCCAGGUAAACAUUUUUAAUGGAUCAUACUUUUCUUACAGUUAAAUUAUUGGUAAAAAUUUUCAAAGUUCAUCACAUUCUUAGGCUCCUAAUAAAUCAAACAUUAAUUGGGGCUAGAAUAAAGUAUUCUGGCUGGUAGGCUUGUUCCAAUGUCAGACCAACUCCUUUUUCCAAAAGGCCACAAAAAUAUACUAGUCUCUUCAUCAAUAAUAUCAGGCAUGAAUACUACCAUGAAAAAAAAAACAGGGUGAAAUUUGUGGAAACAAGAUUCUCACUGGCCUCUACUUUCCAUAACUAGGUGCAACGGCUGCAAGACUACACACAGCCAAUCCUCAUUAUCCUCAGGUAUCACACCUGUGAAUUCAACCACUCAUUAAAAUUUCUAACACUCAAAUCAAUACUUGUAGCAGUUUCUUUUUUUUUUUUUUUGAGACAGUCUUGCUCUGUCGCCCAGGCUGGAGUGCAAUGGCACGAUCUCGGCUCACUGCAAGCUCCGCCUCUCAGAUUCAUGCCAUUCUCCUGCCUCAGCCUCCUGAGUAACUGGGACUACAGGCGCCCGCCACCACGGCUGGCUAAUUUUUUUGUAGUUUUAGUAGAGACAGGGUUUCACCGUGCUAGCCAGGAUGGUCUCGAUCUCCUGACCUUGUGAUCCGCCUGCCUCAGAAUCCUAAAGUGCUGGGAUUACAGGCGUGAGCCACCGCACCUGGCCAACCCUCAGUAAUAUUCUUUUAGGCUUAGCUAGACUUUUGAGAACUCUAGCCCCUAGCCACAAUAGCACUUUGCCACUCAUCCCUCUCCUGCCAAAAGCCUCUGACUCCAGCCAAAUCAAGCCGAUUGCUAGGCCUUAUCUAGAUUCAGUACCUUUCUAUUCCCUGCUCAUGUGAUACCCCUCCGCCUGAAGGGCCCAUCUACCACACCAUUCCCUUAGUUUUCCACGCCUAUAAUCCUAGCACUUUGGGAGACCCAGGCGGGAGGAUUGAUUGAAGACAAGAGUUCAAGACCAGUCUAGGCAAUAAAGAGAGACCUUGUCUCUACAAAAAAAAAAACAAACGAUAAAAAAAAAAAUUAGCUCGGAGUGGUGACACAUGCCUGUAAUCCCAGCUACUUGGGAGGCUGAGGCUGGUGGAUUGCCUGAGCCCCAAAAGUUGGAGGCUGCUGUGAGCCACAAUCACGCGAUUGCACUCCAGCCUAUGCGACAGAGUAAGGCCCUGUCUCACAAAAAUAAAAAUAGAAGAUUCCUUACCCUCCACUAGUAACAAUUUCCUUUAAAUAACCUUCAAGAGCUCUUAGGCAGACCUCUUUCAAUAGGACCUUUUCCGACAUGACCCUCUUUUUGAGACAGGGUCUUGCUCUGUCGCUCAGGCUGGAGUGCAGUGGCGUGAACACAACUCACUGUACCCUUGACCUCCUAGGCUCAAGUGAUCUUCCUGCCUCAGUCUCCCAAGUAACUGGGACCACAGACAAGCGCCAUUAAGACUGGCUAUUUUUUUUUUUUUUUGGAGAGAUGCGUCUUACCAUGUUGUCCAGGUUGGACUUGAACUCCUGGGCUCAAGCACUCUUUUCACCUUGGCCUCCCGAAGUGCUGGGAUUACAGGCAUGAGUUACCAUACUCGGCCUCUGACCCCUUUCUAUUCUGCAUUGUCACCAUUAUCUGCUGACCUUAGCUACUCAUCCAUAAGCUUUUUUGAGGCAAGAUCCAUAGCUCUGUGUCACUGUAGCAUCUAACAUGUACAGUGUAGCAGAUGUGCAGUGGAUCACAAAUAAUGGAAUGAUUACCCACUAUUAACUCUAAUAUCCUGUCUCACAUUUGUCACAUUCAUUACUUCCAGGGUUUAGAAACCCAAAGCUACGGGAAUCCAAUGCUUAUUUUGAGCUUUAUCCAAAAUUCAACUAAACAUUAGUCAGAAUAUUACUUUGAUUACUCCAAGAAAACAAAUACUGGCACACUGCUGUUUUAAAACCUCACAUUCAUUUUUACCAAGAGCACUGGCUGAGUAACAUACUGUGUUCAAGGGUUGGGGACACAGAGGUGACUAGUUCACACAGAGGCCUAUUUUCAGAGAUCUUGUGGUAGAGAUGAGACAUGUGUGUUGAUGGCUACAGUAAAGGUGCUACACAAAAGUCAUGAAUACAGUGCCUUAGGAAGAGAAUAACGAAGAAGAAGCUCUGCCCGAUAGAUCAGGCUUUACAUACAGGCGUCUCCAAGCAGAAAAAGGCACAACAGUAGAGCAAUGGACAUGUCCAAAGUCCAGGAUGUGGAAAGUAGGGUGUGGCUGGAAGGAAGGGUGAGGACCAGAGAUGCUGCUGGAAAUCAGGCAGUGCCAAGUACACUAAGACUCUAAUUGGCCAGUCUGAAUGAGCCGUCCUUUUUAACAAGCUUUUCUGAGGUUUCAAAUGGGUAGUUCAAUUUUCAACAAAUAAAAGGGUGGCCAGAUUAUAAAGAAAAUUAGGUAUUUACCAAUCAUCCUCAUCUAAUAAGUAACUAAUUCAAUAAAAAUAUAUUGAUUAUCUUCUAGGAGCUAAUGAAGACAGAAGACCUGCUCCCUGUGGUUAAAGACAUUUAGAAAACUCAUACAUUGAGCUUCAAAGCCUAAAUAUGGUAAUUUACUUCUUUUUGUUUUUGAGACAGGGUCUUGUUCUGUCACCCAGGCUGGAGUGCAAUGGCGUGAUCUUGGCUCAUUGUAAACUCCGCCUCCCAGGUUCAAGCCAUUCUCCUGUCUCAGCACCUCCCCAAGUAGCUGGGACUACAGGUAUGCACCACCACACCUAGCUAAUUCUUGUAUUUUUAGUAGAGACAGGGUUUCACCAUGUUGGCCAGGCUGGUCUCAAAUUCCUGACCUCAAGUGAUCCACCCGCCUCGACCUCCCAAAGUGCCUGGGAUUACAGGCAUGAGCCACCGCGCCUGGCCAAAAUGGUAACUUACUUCUGAACCUAGUUCAGUGAACUUUUCCCUAAAGACAGAAAAAUAUUUCACUAGCUGAGAUAGAUACAGGUUGAGCAACCCUAAUCCAAAAAUUUGAAAUGCUCCAAAAUCUGAAAUUUUCUGAGCACUAACAUGACACAACAAGUGGAAAAUUCCACCCCUGACCUUAUUUGAAAGGUCACAGACAAGAGGGCAGUCAAACCUUUUAGUCCAGGCAACAUACUUAGCCCAGCCUGGCUCUACAAAAAAUAAAUUAGCUGGGUGUGGUGGCAUGCACCUGCCAGCUACUGAAGUAAAAAGAUCACUUGAGCCCAGGAGUUUGAGGCUGCAGUGAGCUAUGAUUGCAUUGCUAUACUCCAGACUGGGUGACAAUGAGACCCUGCCUGUAAAAAACAGAAACAAAAAUAUCACAAACAAAAAAACAAAGCACACAUUGUUUUGUGUAUAAAAUUAUUUAAAGUGUUGGCCGGGCAAGGUGGCUCACGCCUGUAAUCCCAGCACUUUGGGAGGCCGAGGCGGGUGGCAGGAGAUGGAGACCACAGUGAAACCCCGUCUCUACUAAAAAUACGAAAAAAGUUAGCCGGGUGCGGUGGCGGGCGCCUGUAGUCCCAGCUACU